AGUGAAUAGAUACCCCGGUAGUCCACGCCGUAAACUAUGGAUGCUAGCUGUUACCAGUAUCGACCCUGGUAGUAGCGAAAGCUAACGCGUUAAGCAUCCCGCCUGUGGAGUACGGUCGCAAGACUAAAACAUAAAGGAAUUGACGGGGACCCGCACAAGCGGUGGAGCGUGUUGUUUAAUUCGAUGAUAAGCGAAGAACCUUACCCAGGCUUGACAUCCUGUGAAGACUCCCGAAAGGGAAUUGUGCCGCAAGGAACGCAGUGACAGGUGCUGCAUGGCCGUCGUCAGCUCGUGUCGUGAGAUGUUGGGUUAAGUCCCGCAACGAGCGCAACCCUUUUGAUUAGUUGAAUUUUUCUAGUCAGACUGCCCUGGUAACAGGGAGGAAGGAGGGGAUGAUGUCAGGUCAGUAUUGCCCUUACGUCUGGGGCUACAAACACGCUACAAUGGCCGGUACAAAGGGCAGCCAACCCGCGAGGGGAGCAAAUCCCAUCAAAGCCGGUCUCAGUUCGGAUAGUGGGCUGAAACUCGCCUGCUUGAAGCU
RNAcentral lists this ribosomal RNA (541 nucleotides) under uncultured bacterium. Its description in RNAcentral is "bacterial SSU rRNA". It matches the Rfam family "Bacterial small subunit ribosomal RNA", at positions 773 to 1327 of the family's 1533-position model. The record is from RNAcentral.